GACGAACGCUGGCGGCGUGCUUAACACAUGCAAGUCGAGCGGUAAGGCCCUUUCGGGGGUACACGAGCGGCGAACGGGUGAGUAACACGUGGGUGACCUGCCCUUAGCUCUGGGAUAAGCCUGGGAAACUGGGUCUAAUACCGGAUAUGACCUCAUGACUCAUGUUGUGGGGUGGAAAGCCUUGUGCGGCCAGGGAUGGGCCCGCGGCCUAUCAGCUUGUUGGUGGGGUAAUUGCCUACCAAGGCGACGACGGGUAGCCGGCCUGAGAGGGCGACCGGCCACACUGGGACUGAGACACGGCCCAGACUCCUACGGGAGGCAGCAGUGGGGAAUCUUGCGCAAUGGGACGAAGCCUGACGCAGCGACGCCGCGUGAGGAUGAC
Molecule: ribosomal RNA, 382 nt
Filed under: uncultured bacterium
Lineage: Bacteria
Description: bacterial SSU rRNA
Rfam family: Bacterial small subunit ribosomal RNA
Source: RNAcentral